GACAUCAAGAAGUCCUACAGGUAACACUAUACCAGGACAUCAAGAUGUCCUACAGGUAACACUAUACCAGGACAUCAAGAAGUCCUACAGGUAACACUAUACCAGGACAUCAAGAUGUCCUACAGGUAACACUAUACCAGGACAUCAAGAAGUCCUACAGGUAACACUAUACCAGGACAUCAAGAAGUCCUACAGGUAACACUAUACACCACUAUACCAGGACAUCAAGAUGUCCUACAGGUAACACUAUACACCACUAGACCAGGACAUCAAGAAGUCCUACAGGUAACACUAUACACCACUAGACCAGGACAUCAAGAAGUCCUACAGGUAACACUAUACACCACUAGACCAGGACAUCAAGAAGUCCUACAGGUAACACUAUACACCACUAGACCAGGACAUCAAGAUGUCCUACAGGUAACACUAUACACCACUAUACCAGGACAUCAAGAAGUCAUACAGGUAACACUAUACACCACUAGACCAGGACAUCAAGAUGUCCUACAGGUAACAUUAUACCAGGACAUCAAGAUGUCCUACAGGUAACACUAUACACCACUAUACCAGGACAUCAAGAUGUCCUACAGGUAACACUAUACACCACUAUACCAGGACAUCAAGAUGUCCUACAGGUAACACUAUACCAGGACAUCAAGAUGUCCUACAGGUAACACUAUACACCACUAUACCAGGACAUCAAGAAGUCCUACAGGUAACACUAUACCAGGACAUCAAGAAGUCCUACAGGUAACACUAUACCAGGACAUCAAGUUGUCCUACAGGUAACAUUAUACACCACUAGACCACUAGACAACACCUGAACUCUACCUGGUCCUGGGGGGGGGGAAAGGAAAAACACCAUAGAAAGACCAAAACCUAGAGAGGAACCAGGCUCUGAGGGGUGGCCAGUCCUCUUCUGGCUGUGCUGGGUGGAGAUUAUAACAGUACAUGGCCAAGAUGUUCAAACGUUCAUAAAUGACCAGCAGGGUCAAAUAAUAAUAAUCACAGUGGUUGUAGAGGGUGCAGCAAGUCAGCACCUCAGGAGUAAAUGUCAGUUGGCUUUUCAUAGCUGAUCAUUCAGAGUAUCUCUACCGCUCCUGCUGCCUCUAGAGAGUUGAAAACAGCAGGUCUGGGACAGGUAGCACGUCUGGUGAACAGGUCAGGGUUCCAUAGCCGCAGGCAGAACAGUUGAAACUGGAGCAGCAGCACGGCCAGGUGGACUGGGGACAGCAAGGAGUCAUCAUGCCAGGUAGUCCUGAGGCAUGGUCCUAGGGCUCAGGUCCUUCGAGAGAGAGAGAAAGAAAGAAAGAAAGAGUGAGAAUUAGAGAGAGCAUACUUAAAUUCACACAGGACACUGGAUAGGACAGGAGAAGUAUUCCAGAUACAACAGACUGACCCUAGCCCCCCGACACAAACUACUGCAGCAUAAAUACUGGAAGCUGAGACAGCAGGGGUCAGGAGACACUGGCUCCACUGAGGACACCCCC
This is a long non-coding RNA of Oncorhynchus keta (chum salmon), 1490 nucleotides long. RefSeq lists it as uncharacterized. Lineage: Eukaryota; Metazoa; Chordata; Actinopteri; Salmoniformes; Salmonidae. The transcript has 4 exons. The record is from RefSeq and is a predicted model, not a curated record.